RNAcentral lists this ribosomal RNA (300 nucleotides) under Acinetobacter sp. bnj_dkc_28. RNAcentral describes it as "bacterial SSU rRNA". It matches the Rfam family "Bacterial small subunit ribosomal RNA", at positions 37 to 332 of the family's 1533-position model. Lineage: Bacteria; Pseudomonadati; Pseudomonadota; Gammaproteobacteria; Moraxellales; Moraxellaceae. The record is from RNAcentral.
UGGCGGCGGCUUAACACAUGCAAGUCGAGCGGAGAUGAGGUGCUUGCACCUUAUCUUAGCGGCGGACGGGUGAGUAAUGCUUAGGAAUCUGCCUAUUAGUGGGGGACAACAUUCCGAAAGGAAUGCUAAUACCGCAUACGUCCUACGGGAGAAAGCAGGGGAUCUUCGGACCUUGCGCUAAUAAGAUGAGCCCUAAAGUUCGGAUUAGCUAGUUUGGUGGUGGUAAAAGGCCUACCAAGGCGACGAUCUGUAGCGGGGUCUGAGAGGAUGAUCCGCCACACUGGGACUGAGACACGGCCC